GGCAGUCCUGGAUAUAGGCCACCAUCACAGUCUUUCCUGCUUGCUUCAUCAGAUGAAAAUCUUCUGCAGGAUGAGUCAGUAAUGGUUGAUAUUCCAUUGAUUGACCAAGGAUUUUAUGGAAAUGGCAUCAAUAAUUAUAAGGAGGAGCUCAAAACUGUUGGAGUAAAGUUUGAAUAUGGCGAAGCGUGUGAGUUUAUAGGGAGGCACCUCAUGUCUCUUGCAGCUUCCUCUGCAUUGACUAAAUCCAAUGUGUUUCAAAUACUUAAGUUCAUCAGAUUUUUGAGACUUAGAUGUCUUCCGGCUGAUAAAUUCAUCCAGAGCAUCAAAGAUGGAAGGUGGUUGAAGACUUCCUGUGGUCACAGGUCUCCAGUUGGAUCUGUUUUAUUUGACCAGGAAUGGGAAGCUGCAUCACAAAUAAGUGACAUCCCCUUCAUUGACCAAGAUCACUAUGGCAAGGAAAUCCUUGGUUUCAAAAUGGAACUCCAAUUGCUUGGUGUGCUGGUUGGCUUUAACAAAAAUUACCAGCUUGUUACCGAUCACUUCAAGUCUCAAGCAUGCUCAAAUUGUCCAACAGCCAAGUCUAUUCUUUUGAUAUUUGAAUGCAUGUGGGAUUGCGAGCGCAAUUCAAGAUCAGCCCAUGAGCUUGUGCAUGCGCUUAAAGGUAAUAAAUGCUUGAAGACGAACAUGGGCUACAAGUUUCCUAGUGAAUGUUUCCUGUUUAAUACUGAGUGGGAUUCGCUUCUGAAAGUCUUCCAUAAUGAUUUUCCACUUAUUGAUGAAAACUUCUAUGGAACCAGCAUCUUGUCUUACGAAAAAGAGUUGAGGCAAGCAGGUGUAGUGGUGGAUUUUGAAGCAGCGACCCAGAAAUUUUUAGCUGUUUUCAAGAAGCAUGCAUCCUCGUCUUCUAUUGGAAGAGAACAUGUUCUGUCUUUUCUCAGGUCUUACGGACAGAUUAAUAAGACAAACAAGAAGUUUCCUUCAGAUUUUAAGCACAACAUUUGUGAGGCAAAAUGGCUGCAAACACGGCUUGGUGUUCCUAGAUCACCAAGAGAGUGCAUUCUUUUUGGCCCAGAAUGGGAACCUGUAAGUUCAAUUACUGUGCUUCCUUUCAUUGAUGAUAGUGACAAGUACUAUGGCAAGAGAAUUCAUGAAUAUAGUAAAGAGCUGAGGAGCCUGGGUGUUACCAUCAAGUAUAAAGAUGGGGUGAGGUUUGUGGCUGCAGGUGUCUACUUUCCCCAAGAUCCCAGCACCAUAACUCCUGAAAGUGUGUUCUCUCUGCUGCAGUGCAUCCAGAUAUUAAUGAAAGAUGGUUAUACUUUGACUGAUGCUUUCCGGUCAAAGGUUUCUCAAAGUUGGUUAAAAACCAAUGCUGGGUAUAGGUCUCCAGGCCAAUGUUUGUUGUUUGGCUCUGAGUGGGGUUCUUUCUUACAGAGGAACGAUGGACCUUUCAUUGAUGAAGAAUUCUAUGGCCCCAACAUUACAGCCUACAAGAACGAGCUCAGAGAAAUUGGAGUGACCGUUGAUUUGUUAAAUGGGUGCUCUUUGCUUGCUGGCUAUCUUGAUUUUCAUUCUGAAUUUUCAACCAUUGUUCGAGUCUAUAAUUACUUGAAUGAACACGGCUGGUCGCCUUCCAAUGAUACUCCUAGAAGGAUCUGGAUCCCUAAUGGGAGUGACAGUGGAGAGUGGGUUAGUCCUGAAAAAUGUGUUAUUCAUGACAAGGAUGGUCUCUUCAGUUCACAGCUGAAUGUUUUAGAGAAACACUAUAAGCCGGAAUUAUUCAGCCUUUUCUGCAGAGUCAUGCAAGUUAAAUCCAAUCCUUCUAUUGAUGACUACUGCGAACUUUGGAAUAACUGGGAAAAUUCAAGGGAGCAACUGUCACGUUCGGAGUGUUGUGCUUUCUGGGCCCAUGUUUCAAAGCACUGGAGUAAAAACACACAGAAAACUCUUGCCGACAGCUUGUCAAAACUGCCAGUUGAAUCAGGAUCGGAGAGAAUAAUGCUGUUUGACAAACGUGAUGUUUUCAUUGCAGAUGACCUCCAGCUGAAGUAUCUUUUCCAACAAUCUUCGCCUCACUCAAUUUUUGUGUGGUAUCCCCAGCCAAGCAUCCCUUCCUUGCCCCGGACUAAGCUGCUUGACAUCUACAGGGAAAUUGGUGUUCGUUCUAUCUCUAAAUCUGUACAGAAGGAAGAAAUCUCCAAGUUGGAGGCCAGUGAACUCAAGCAAGUGUCUCAGAAGGAAACUUUGAUCGGAAAAGGCCUGCUGAAACUCAUUCUUGGCUUUCUCGCUGGUCCUUCUAUUGAAAUGGAAGCAGGACAAAGGCUGGAAGCUGUCAAAGGCCUUCUCAAUCUUAAGGUGUUUGAGACGGAGGGGCAAACUGCAGCAAGCUACAGAUUGUCAAUGUCUUCUGGGGAAACCAUGGACGUUGAUGCAAGAGGAAUGAUGCGCUGGGACCGGGAGGAUUCCAAGCUUUUCAUGCAGAAGAUGGAUAUAUCGGGUGGACAUAAAAAUAAAAUCGAAUAUGCUACAAUCUUCGCUGAAGUAAUAUCAGAGGGCGUCUUACAGGAGAAAGAAGACCAUAUAUCUGAUCUCGCCGAACUGAUCAAGUUGGCAUUCUUCCUGGAUUUUGAUGAGGAAGCAGUUGGGUUCUUGAUGAGAUCCAAGAAUCUCCAAGUUUUCUUGGAGGACGAGGAGCUUCUCUCUUCAGCCCUUUCUCUCGACUAGGUAUGCAUUCUAUGCCAUGACCAAUAAAUAGUUGAAAGUGUCAUUUUCCUUAUAUUUCCCCGUUUGAAGUGUGUACUGGUGUGUGCUAUUAGAAUAUUAUAUAAUGUAUAUGAAUCUGGUGUGAAAUGGCUGAUUUAGGCAGCCUAUAUUGUGAUAAUUAUGCCCUUGUGCUUGCCUUUUUUAUUAAAUCGAUUUAAUAUUAAUUGACAUGCAAGAGACAAAAUUAAAUAUUUAAAAGGAGAUGCAUGUGAAGAUCUAAUCUACUCAUAUGUUUUCAAACACUAAAAGUAAAAAAAAAAUUAUAUUGUAAGAGUUCAACUUUAACAUAUCAAAUUAUAAAAAAAUAAAAAAAUUACAAUAUAUCAUCCUUAAAAUAGAUGGUUGCAAUUUUUUUUUAAUCCUCAUUAAUUAUUUUUUAAAUGACUAUAUUAUUUGCUAUAGAGAAUACUCCAUCUCUAUACCUAAAUUUAACACUUGAAGAAAAAUUUUCUUCGGCUUUGAACCCCGUGAAACUCGGUUGCAUUAGAAGUUACAAAUAAAAAUGAUUUCAUUACUUUAAUAAGAUAAUAUGAGAGUAUUUGAUAUAUAAAAUUAAUAAAUGAACAUAGUCUAAUAUUUAAUUUAAUUUAUUAACCAUAUUAUGGAUUUUUUAAUUAAUUUAUUUAAUGUCAAAAAAUCUUUUUUUAGGUCUAAUAAACCCAAAAAAAAAAAAAAUUAAAACAUGUUAGGUAUUGUUUUGUUUAAUUGUUAUUAGAUUAUUAGAAAACAAUUUGGGAGUAGUUAUUAAUCGUUUUCAAAAACAAAAUUAUAUUUGAUAUUUUAAAAAUAGUUCAUUGAUUUUGUUCUCAAUGAAAGUACCAUAAACUUUAACAUAAAAUAUAAUUUUUUUUCUAAAUGUGUUCUAUAUUUUUAAUUGUUUAUUAAGACAUUUGAAAAUAUGUUAAAUUUAUUUUCAAAAUAAUAUGUUAUCAAAAUAAAUUUUGAAAAACGGUUUUGUUUCAAAAGUCUACCAACUAUUUUCUAGGUUGGAAAAUUGGUUUUAGUUAUACAAUAAUAAUUUCCAUACGGAUGCUUGAGAUAUGGAUUUAGUACCAUAUUAAAUUUAUGUAUUUAAAUAUAAAUCAUUGAAUAAAAAUAUAGCAAAAAAAAAGAUAUUUAAAUGUAAAUAUAUUGGACCACGUUAUAAAAAAAUAAAAAAAACAAGAGAACGAGACUAUUACAAGUAUCGAAGUAUGAAAUUCAAGGUGCCCACAUAAACCUUUUUUAUUGAGCACCAUUCUAUAUAAAGAUUUAUUUGAAAACUUAUUUUGAAAAUAGCUUUGUGUUUAAAUGUCUUUAUAGUUGAGAAACAAUAAAUUCAUAUUUCCUUUUUUUUCAACUUCCAUGCAAUACCUAUAGAGUCACUGUGAUUCUUGCAAAUGAGUUGAACUUGAAUCCCAAAAGUGAAUAAAAAAUUGGAUCUACAUUGAAUUGUCUUGUUGAUCUACGUUAAAUUGCCUCAUCAAUUCUUUUGAGUAAAAACUUGAUCUUAGACUUAAUUCAAACAAAAGGAGUACAUUAUGCUAAUGUAUCUUGAAUGAUCCACAUCUCAAGGUAGUUGGCCCAAUAUAUCGGGAUGAUUGGCUUAAUGAGCAUAGGGGUGGUUGACCCAAUAAGCACAUUGAAGAAUUAAUGUGACUAGUCUUGAUGUUUUUAUAGGGAUGGUAAUGGAUAAGUUUUUUUUGUACCAUCUAUGCCCAUGGGACAAAUUUGAAAGAAAUGUAUAUUGAAUGGGCUUUAUUGUUGUUUUUUCUUAAAAAAAAAAAAAAACUAGAGUCAUCAAAGAAGGUUUUCUUACCAAACCUAAUUAUAUAAAAUUAGAUAAAAAUAAUUUCAUUUCAUUUUCUUUUGACAAAAUUAAAAUUAAAAAUUUUGAAAAAUAAUUUAAAAAUUAAAGGAGAUAUGAGAGAGGUAAGCAUGGGAAAUUGCUAGGGUGCAACUUGGGCGGGUUGGAUUGGGCCAACCCAAACCUAACCCUCUAUUUGGACGGGCUUAGAUAGAUGUUUUUAAUAUUUGGGUUGAACUUGUAUUAAGUUUUCUCAAUAUGAACCCAACCCAAACCGGUUUAAUGUUUUUAUACUUGUAUAAUAAUAUUCAUCUCCUUUUCAAAUUUUAAAAAUAUCAAAUUAUAAAUAUAUCAUAUACUUCUCAUUUAUAUAUAUAUAUAUAUAUAUAUAUAUAUAUAUAUAUAAGUUUAUUUUUAUUAUAAAAUAUGAAAUUUUGUACCACUAUGGUAACUUAUGGAUGAUCAUCCAUAAAUAUAUUUUAUAACUCUUUAUAAAAGGAAGAGACUUCUAAUGAAAUUUAAUAGAGUUUUCUAAUACAUUCUAUUAUCUCUUUCUUGAUUUCUUCUUCUCUCAUUUUGUUUUAUAAUAAUUUUUACUUUUUUAUUGUUAUCUUGAAAUUUUGUCUUAUUUUUUAUAUAAAUAUAUAUAAUUUAAAAAAAAAACCAUUAUGAAUAAAUUUUAAAUUAUGCAACCCAACCAAUUCCACUCUUGUCCAAUCAACUUGAGUUUAAUUCUAUUAACCCAAUUUUAAUCCAAGUUUAAAAAAACAAGAUUGAGCACUUCAAGUUAGAAAUCGGAUUAAAUUGAGUUUGGGUUAAUCAUUUCUUAAUUUAAAUUAAACUCAAGUUAACUUUCAACCUAUUCAAGUUGUAACCUUAGAAAUUCUAUACCUAUCUCAAUCUACCAUUUUUUAGUUAAAACUUUUUUUAGGAUGGAAAUAUGAGUAAUUUUAAAUAAUAUAAGUACCCAUCCUCAUCCAUUGAGUUGCUAUCCCUAGUGUUUUUAUAGGAUUGCCACCCUCUAUUUUGAGUAUUUUUAGAAGAUUGUCGGUCUCGUUAUUAGCUCAUAUUUAUAGUUUAAUCCUCUUGGAGACUCCCGUUCUACUUGUACAGUCACUUAUAUGUUUUUUUAUCCAUCUCCCUUUGGAAAAUGAGAGGAAAAGACAAUGCAAGAACUCUAUGGUCCAUAAAGACUCGGCGUGGAGGAAUGGUGACGUCACUUUCUAGUACAAUGGGCCAAACUUUUUUCUCAUUUUCCACUAGGUGGGUGCCUUUUAAAAUCUUUAAAUUUUUAUUUUUUAUUUUUGUUCAUUCUUUAUUAAUUCCUUCUCCACUUUCUAAUUCCUUCGCCCGGAGGUUUCCCCUUUGGUUAAAGUUAAUCAUUAAAGGUAAAAAAAGAUUAAAUAAAAUAACAUUUUCAUUAAUAAUCGCAUUAAAGUGAAUCAUCAAAGUUAAUAUGAUUAAAUAAUAUAAUAUUUUGACUAAUAAUUAAGGAUUUAAUUAAAAAUUAUUCUUGAAAUUAGUUUUAUAUCACUUCUUAAUUGUUUUUAGAAAUAGAAUUACAUUUGAUAUUUGAAAAAUAGUUUUUUUUUUUAUCUUAUUUUUCAUUAAAGUAUUAUUAGCAUAAAAGUUUUUAAAAUAUUACUUAUAUUUUCAAUUAUUACUCAAAACACUUUAAAAGUAAUAAACGAAAAUAUCUUAAAUUUGUUCUCAAAACAAUUCAUCUUUAAAAUAAUUUUUCAAAAAACUAUUUUUUUUUUCAAAAGUCUAUUAAAAUUGUUUUCUAAGUUAGAAAAUUGCUUUCAAUUAUAAAAAUAGAGGUUGUUCAAAAAUGUUUUUGAAAACAAUAUUAAAAAAUAUUUGUAUGAUAAUUUCUAAAACAAAAUUUUGUUUAUAAAUUUGAAAUGUUUUAAUUUAUUUUGUGUAUUUAAAUAUUCCUUAAAAAUAUUUUUUUUAUAUGUAUUGAUUGUUAUUUAAAAAAGUUUUAAAAAACAAGAAAAACCAUUAUAUAUUCUAAAGAAAAUAAAUCAUAUUUUUAUAAUAAUUCUCAAAAACCUAUUUUGGGAUAACCAAUAAAAAAACAAAUUUUGAUUUUUUUUUUUUUGUUAAAAUAGCUCAAAAAUAUAACCUAAAAGGUUGUUUUCAAAAAUAGUUUUAAAAUAUAUCCUUAGCAUAUGGAUUUGGUAUCAUAUCAAAACUCAAAAUAUGAAUCUUUAUGUGUAUGAUUAAAAAUAUAUCACUAAGUAAAAAUAUAAAAAAAAAUGAAAUAUUUAUAUAAAUAUAUAGGACCAAAUUAUCAGGGAAAAAAAACAUUAAAAGUAUAAACAAAUGAAAUUUGUAGUUUUUGUAUAAACAUUUUAGCCUAAGUAGUGUUAUAUAUAUAUAUAUAUAUAUAUAUAUAUAUAUAUAUAUAUAUAUAUAUAUAAAGGCUUAUUUGGUAAUGGCUAAUAAUAAGUUCUAUUUGGAAAACAUUUAUUUAUUUACAAAAAAACAGAUUUGAUCAAUUUUUAUUAUUAUUGAAUAUAUAUAUAUAUAUAUAUAAUAACAAAUUUGAGUUGUUUUAGAAAAACAAUUGAAAAUAUGAUAUUUAAAAAAAUUUUACAUUAUGUAUUAUGUACAGGUGUAUAAUACAUGGAAUAAGCUUUCCAAAUUAAAUUCUUUAAGAAAAUUUUGUUUGUAAAAUAAAUUGAGAAGUAUUUUAUGUAAUAAGAGUUUUUUUUAAAAAAACUCUGUAAAAAUUUAUAUUUAGGAAAAUUGCUAAGUUAUCAAAUAGUUAUUAUAUCAACCACUAAAUCUAAAUUAUUGAUCUUCAUAAUUAAAUUUGAAUGAUUGAAUAAAUGUAACAUGAAAUGGGAUCAUAAUGGAAAAUUAGGAAUCAGGUAUAAAAGAAUAAGCUUCUCAAAUGGAAAUUCAUUCAAUUAUAAAUUUCUCCAUUUUUGGAUAUAUUUUUCAAUCACAAUUCUAUAGUUUUUUAUACGAUUUAUCUUUAUUUAAAAAAUAAAAUAAAACAUGCCUUUUUCUUCACUGUAAUUCGUUGAAUCAAAUUUUUAUAAGAUUUAGUAAUUAUUUUAAAUUAGAAAUUUCAAACAAAAAAAUCGGAUAAUAUAAAAUUAGGUAGAAAUAAAUACAAAUAAAUCUAUUUUACACGUGGUCGUUUAUUAUUGGGCAUAUCGAAAAUAAUCAAAAUACACCACUUUUAAAUCUCACUCCCCACAUGCAAGGACGAUUCCAAAUUUCCAACUUCAUGGAACCACACCUCGUAGACCCGAGCAAGUCUCCUCGUCCGUACGUCUCGCCCCUUUUUUUUCUCUUUCUUUAGUUGAUGUCGAUUCCGUUGAUUGCUUACUUCCUUCACAAGUUUUGCUUCUUUACUAAGUUUCUCACAUUCUAGUCCACACAAAACGACGAUGGAUUGGACAUUCUUUAAAUGCGUCUCUUUUAUAUAUGUAGACACUUCUGUGUGUUGCCAUUCAGUGCCCUUGGCAUCUUUCUACUGAGAGUGAAGACUGAGAGUGCUUUGUGUGAAUCGAGAAGGAGGAGUGGUCGUAAUGGCGACGCCGGAGGAGCAUAUAAAGGAGAUAAGGAGGACGAAGUUCUCGAUUGGAGGAGAGCUGAAUCCGCUGACGGAGGAUCUUCACCAGGCGGUGAAGAAUCUCUCAGCUGAGCUUUACGCUAAGGAUGUUCAUUUCCUCAUGGAACUCAUUCAGGUCUGUGCUUUAUAUGUUUGUCUUGUUGUUUUUAGAGAUGUGAUGAGCACUCUGCGUUGUAUGCAGCCAUUGUUUUGUCAUGUUAUUUAAAAUUUUGAGCGCUUUGAGCGCUGCUCUGUUCCUCUGCUAGAAAACCAAGGAAAAUGACGGUUAUGAGACUUUUGAAUAUUUUGUUUUCUUUAUAUGGUAUUUGUUUCUUGGAGAUGACUAACUAGAGAUUCAUAAUUAUAUGAUAUAUCUUUGAAGUAAAAAUCAACUUAGGAAAGUAUAUGAUAUAUUUAUAAUUUGAUAUUUUUAAAAUUUAAAAAGGAGAUGAAUAUUAUUAUACAAGUAUAAAAACACUAAAUCAGGUUUGGUUUUGGUUCGUAUUGAGAAAACUUUAACACAAGUUCAACCCAAAUAUUAAAUCGGUGCACUAACUUUCUGAAGAAUAUGUUACUUAUCUAUUAUUCUAAUUCGAUCAUUAUGAUCGGAAAGUGAAGUGAUAUGGAUUGAGAAUUAGUUUUGCACUAACUUUUUGAAGAAUAUGUUACUUAUCUAUUAUUCUAAUUCGAUCAUUAUGAUCGGAAAGUGAAGUGAUAUGGAUUGAGAAUUAGUUUUGUUACAUUCAAACUUCGGUUACAUUUUUUUGGUCUUGGAAAAUCUAAAUGUGAAGAAAUCACAUAUUCUAAAUUUUACAUAACAGAAUGCAGAAGAUAAUGACUACCCGGAAGGUGUAAAUCCAUCACUGGAGCUCGUUAUAACUUCACAGGACAUAACUGGCACUGGAGCAUCCGCGACAUUGUUGAUUUUCAACAACGAAAAAGGGUUUUCAGCUAAAAAUAUUGAGUCUAUCUGCAGUGUUGGGAGGUCCACCAAGAAAAACAAUAGGAAGUGUGGCUAUAUUGGAGAGAAAGGUACCUUCAUUUUUUUACUCUUUCGCUCAUAUCUCUCCAUCUUCCAUGCUGUAAAUUUUAAAACGAAACAGAGCAAGCUCUAACUCUCUGUCUGCAAAAAGAAAUUCUUUCUUUUCGAUAAUCCCUAGUCAACGAUAGACUGUCUCCCGAUUGUCUCUGUGAAACAAUCGGAAGACAACAAGGAUUAGAUAAAAUGAGAAAUAGAGGUAUGUGAUAGUAGAAAGUGAUCUAUCUUGGUUCUAUAUUUUUAUGCAUUUCAUUAAUACUGGGAACAAAAGAAACAAGGGGUCUUAUUAUUCUUACAUGUUCAUUAGUAACAUUCCCUUGAUACUUUCCAAGGGUAUCACUCGUAUUUUGCUUAUGCUUAAUGUUUUCUGAUUCUACUAGAAAUCUUAUAAGAACUUGUUUUGUUAUAAGUGGAUUUAUGGGAUUGGUUCUUCAAUGGUCUUGGGUCAGAAUCCUAUUUUGACUCUGCAUCAUCGAUUCCACUAUUAUUAGUGAGCAAUAAUGGAAAAAUUCUUUCAUAUUCAUAGAAAUAAGGGACAUAAUUUACAUGGAUAUAGUAAGUUUCGCUUGGGCUGCUUUAAUGGUAGUCUUUACAUUUUCUCUUUCACUCGUAGUAUGGGGAAGAAGUGGACUUUAGAGGUACUAUUGAUUCAGUUGAGAAUCUUUAACUACAGAUCAAGUAUAUCCUCAAUUCUUAGAACCUCUAGUGUAGAAACACUUUAUUCAUGUCAAAAAGUUAGCUUAAUCAAUUCAGCUAGACACCCCAACUUUGGUCUUUACUAAGUCAACCUUCUCCUUUGCUUAACUUGCUAGCCUAAGAUGUACACGACUUAAAAGCUAAAAUGAAAACUGUGGGCAAGACUUUUGGUCUUUACUAAGUCAACCUUCUCCCUUGCUUAACUUGCUAGCCUAAGAUGCACACGACUUAGAAGUAUUUCUUAUACAACUUGUCGUCUUGCUAAUAUGCAGGAAUUGGGUUCAAGAGUGUAUUUCUAAUCACAGCACAACCUUACAUAUUCAGUAAUGGAUAUCAGAUACGAUUCAAUGAAGAGCCUUGCCCGCACAGCAAUCUUGGGUACAUAGUCCCUGAAUGGGUUCAGUGGAAUCCAACUCUUGAUGACAUAAAGCAAAUAUACGGUUCUCAUGCAGUCCUUCCAACCACUACCAUAAUCUUGCCUCUAAAGCCUGACAAGAUCGGCCCUGUGAAGGAACAGCUCUCAAGUAUUCAACCUGAAGUUCUAUUAUUUCUUUCAAAGAUUAAGCAGUUUUCUGUCAAGAAACAUAAUGAGGAUCCCAGGCUCAAUACGGUGAAUGCUAUAUCUAUUUCAAGUGAAAUUAACUUUGUUAAAAGGAAGAAUAUUGAUGCUGAUUCCUAUAUUCUCCAUCUCUCCACGGAUGGAGCUAAGGAUGUGACUGAAAAAGAAUGCAGCUAUUAUAUGUGGAGGCAGAAGUUCCCUGUCAGGCAGGAAAAUCAAGUAGAAAGAAGACUUGGAGUGGAGGAGUUGGUUAUUACGCUGGCAUUUCCAUUUGGACAGCGACUGAAUAGAGGGAUAAGCUCUCCAGGAGUCUAUGCAUUUCUUCCCACGGAGAUGGUUACAAAUUUUCCUUUCAUUAUUCAGGCAGAUUUUGUUCUUGCAUCAUCCAGGGAAACAAUCCUCUUGGACAACAAAUGGAACCAAGGCAUUCUAGAUUGUGUGCCUUCUGCUUUUCUUAAUGCCUUCAUUUCACUGGUUACAACAUCACAAGAUGUUCCAGUCUCUACACUGACCCCAAUGUUUAAGUUCUUGCCUAUCUACAGCUCUCCUUAUCCAAAGCUCAAUGAUGUGAGGGAGUUGAUCAAAGCAGAACUGCUUAAGAAGAAUAUCGUACCAUGUGAGUCGUAUUCAGACCAGAAGAUCUUUCGUAAACCUUGUGAAGUGGGUAGGUUAAUGCCUUCUUUCUGGAAUAUCCUGAAAAAGGCAAGGAAGCAAGGGGUAAGUUUGCAUUCUCUGUCAUCCCAUGGAAAGUAUAUUCUGAAUUCUUCAUUUGAUACAGAGGAGUACGAUCACAUAUUGAAUUUCCUUGGUGUGGAACCUGUCAAUAGCGAAUGGUAUGCCAAGUGUAUCAAGAGUUCCAAUCUUGUUUUGGGAGUGACAGAGGAUGGUUAUUUGGAGCUUCUACUCUUUAUUGCUGAGAAAUGGAGUUCCUCUUUCUACAGCACCGACAUGAAGAAUGUUCCUCUCCUAAAAUAUGUUGGUCCUGAUGGAAAUGUUGUUUUGUGCGCUACAAGCAAUGUCACAAUGUGGAAUGGUGAAAGUACGAUUUGUAUGUCCCGUGAGUCUCAGCAUAUUUCAUGGUUGAUAGACUGGAACAGGGAAUUUAGACGUGUGACAGAUCGAUAUUUUGUGCCCAAAAGCACACAAGAAGCUAUCAGGUCUUUUUUUAAGAGAGAGACUCUCUUGGAAUGGCUUCAAAAUCAAGUGAAGGUUCGGGCUGUAAGUGUGAAAGACUUUGCAGUCAUUCUUUGUAAUUCUCUUAAGGGUGACCGACAGCUUGCUAUCGCCUAUGUUCACUUCCUUUAUCAUUCCCUCUCGAAGAGUUAUCUACCAAAGGGGGAUGUUGACAAUUUGUGUGGUAUCAUGCCACUUGUAGAUAACUAUGGGCAUGUGAGCACUCAGAGAAAAGGGGUUCUCGUUCCUGCUAACGGAAGCAAAUGGGUGGGAUUAAUGGGUACAAAUCCGUGGAGGGGAGCAGGCUAUGUUGAGCUGGGAGAAGACUAUUUGCGCUCAGGCAGUUAUGCAGGUUUAUUCACAUCAGAGAUGCAACUAAUGACGUUUCUCAAAACUCAUGUUGCAGCUUCUGAUAUACCUCAUAUAUCUCCUCCCGACGCCGAGUUAUCUGCCGCAUAUGCACCACUCACCAAGCAAAAUGCAUUCUUGCUGUUGGACUGGAUUCACAACCUGAAAUAUAAGCAAGGUCUGCCAGCUAAGUUCCUGACAUCCAUUAAGAAGGGAAGCUGGUUCAAAAUUUCCCUCAGUGGCAGUCCUGGAUAUAGGCCACCAUCAGAGUCUUUCCUGCUUGCUUCAUCAGAUGAAAAUCUUCUGCAGGACGAGUCAGUAAUGGUUGAUAUUCCUUUGAUUGACCAAGGAUUUUAUGGAAAUGGCAUCAAUUGUUAUAAGGAGGAGCUCAAAACUGUUGGAGUAAUGUUUGAAUAUGGCGAAGCCUGUGAGUUUAUAGGGAGGCACCUCAUGUCUCUUGCAGCUUCCUCUGCGUUGACUAAAUCCAGUGUGUUUGAAAUACUCAAGUUCAUCAGAUUUUUGAGACUUAGAUUUCUUCCGGCUGAUAAAUUCAUCCAGAGUAUCAUAAAUGGAAGAUGGUUGAAGACUUCCUGUGG
This 12528-nucleotide long non-coding RNA is filed under the name Vitis vinifera (wine grape). RNAcentral describes it as "long non-coding RNA (VVIN_LNC005603)". The record is from RNAcentral. Lineage: Eukaryota; Viridiplantae; Streptophyta; Magnoliopsida; Vitales; Vitaceae.